This 858-nucleotide ribosomal RNA is filed under the name uncultured bacterium. Its description in RNAcentral is "bacterial SSU rRNA". It matches the Rfam family "Bacterial small subunit ribosomal RNA", at positions 9 to 916 of the family's 1533-position model. The record is from RNAcentral.
GAGUUUGAUCCUGGCUCAGAACGAACGCUGGCGGCAGGCCUAACACAUGCAAGUCGAGCGCACCUUCGGGUGAGCGGCGGACGGGUUAGUAACGCGUGGGAAUAUGCCCAAAGGUACGGAAUAGCCUCUGGAAACGGAGAGUAAUACCGUAUGUGCCCUUCGGGGGAAAGAUUUAUCGCCUUUGGAUUAGCCCGCGUUGGAUUAGGUAGUUGGUGGGGUAAUGGCCUACCAAGCCUACGAUCCAUAGCUGGUUUGAGAGGAUGAUCAGCAACACUGGGACUGAGACACGGCCCAGACUCCUACGGGAGGCAGCAGUGGGGAAUCUUAGGCAAUGGGGGAAACCCUGAUCUAGCCAUGCCGCGUGAGUGGCGAAGGCCCUAGGGUCGUAAAGCUCUUUCGCCAGGGAUGAUAAUGACAGUACCUGGUAAAGAAACCCCGGCUAACUCCGUGCCAGCAGCCGCGGUAAUACGGAGGGGGUUAGCGUUGUUCGGAAUUACUGGGCGUAAAGCGUACGUAGGCGGAUUAGUCAGUCAGAGGUGAAAUCCCAGGGCUCAACCCUGGAACUGCCUUUGAUACUGCUAGUCUUGAGUUCGAGAGAGGUGAGUGGAAUUCCGAGUGUAGAGGUGAAAUUCGUAGAUAUUCGGAGGAACACCAGUGGCGAAGGCGGCUCACUGGCUCGAUACUGACGCUGAGGUACGAAAGUGUGGGGAGCAAACAGGAUUAGAUACCCUGGUAGUCCACGCCGUAAACGAUGGAUGCUAGCCGUUGGUGAGUUUUCUCAUCAGUGGCGCAGCUAACGCAUUAAGCAUCCCGCCUGGGGAGUACGGUCGCAAGAUUAAAACUCAAAGGAAUUGACGG